AAGAGACUAAGCAAAGGUAGCUGCUUGUGAUGUAUUUGGGAUAAAUAAUAAUUGAUGUAACUUCCUUUGCCACACGUUUCCAAGAUCAUCGCCUCUUAAAAGACACCCUUGGUGAUUUUUUAAGAAUCUUUUUUGAUUUAAAUGUUUGUUUUAAUGAAAAGAUUGAUGCUAAAUUAGCCGUUGCUAGCGUGUUAGCAUAGUUUUGUGUGUGGAGCUCAUAGCCGGUCUUCUUUUCCCAGAUUUGGAGGAUACAUCUGACAUCUACACAGCCGCAGGUAUCCCAAGAUUCAUUGCGCGCCCAGAGAAAGAAUUUCUGACGAAAUAUGGCGCCCUUUGACCCAGCAGUAGCGGCAACUGGAUAUACUUUUAAAUGGAGAAGGAGAGGAAGGCAGAAGAGAGGAGUGUAGGGAGAGGAUGGACAGACUCUUCUCUCUGCUGGAGAAACUUGUUGUCAAAUGAAAUACCGCGGGGAGCUCCACCGGGUGGCAGUAGUGGGCCAGAACGCCACCUUACUGCAGGAGAUUGCUCUGUUCACCUCACAGGAACCUGUCAAUAAUAUAUUACUGCACCAGGUAUUUGCACAUUUAUUCACACACAUGCUGCACA
This 606-nucleotide long non-coding RNA is filed under the name Cottoperca gobio. Its description in RNAcentral is "lncRNA (ENSCGOG00000021037.1)". Lineage: Eukaryota; Metazoa; Chordata; Actinopteri; Perciformes; Bovichtidae. The record is from RNAcentral.